UAUCGACAAAUUGUUCAUCGAUGGAUGAAUUUUUUGAAAAGGGGGUGAAAAUUUUGCUCGAAUCACCCCAAAAUGAGAGUGUGUGCGUGGCUCGCUGUAUCGCGAUAGAGUUCGGCGUGUGUCGAAUGAAUGUUCAAAAAGGUCGUAGUAGGCUAAAAAUCUGUUUUUCUGUUUUCGCUCGGUCACUGUCUAGUUUCAUGCGGGAAUAGUUCGUGAAUUGUGGAUUGCGUCAGUUCGUGGACUGUGUAUUCGUUUGUGGAAUAGUGUUUGCCAAGUUGUUCCAGUUCUAGUUCUAAAAGGAUAUUUCGAUGACCUGCUGGCCUGACCUGCUGGCGAUGACCUGCAGCGUGAUGACCUGCUGGCGCUGCUUUCGGCUGAAUACGACGAUGCAGAAGCAGGACAAGCUGUUUCAAAACAUUUGAAAAGCGACGCGUGGGGACAUAUGGCCACAGUUAACAGUUAACCUCAUAUCUAGAGGUUUUUGUGUACACAAAUUCAGGAAGCAGGAAGGAUUCAAGUGCCGUAGUGUGAAAUACUCCGUCAACAGAGAAAAACACAUGUUUUCUUACAACUGCGCCCACGCGUCCCUUUGGCCUACUGCUUCAAAGUUGACAUUCAUACUUCUUGAUGAAUGAUGGUCAUUUGAAAGGAACAAAUUAUUGGACAUGCUCGUGAUUAUCCACCUCUAUGAUGCACCUGCCAAUGGAAGGGAAAGACAAGCCAACCUUAGUAUUUGGUUGUUUUUGCUGCUGAUCGGUUCUAAAUUGGAUACUGGAAACCGCUGCUGUUAGUGCUCUGCAUUGGAUUUUUUUUUCGCUUUGCUCACAGUGCGUGACCUUGGUUUAUUAUGGCAAUCUAUCAGUCAAUUAACAUUCCCUUCAGCCAAAACACGUUCGGUCCUCCGUACACAUUUGAUUUCCGUAAGAAUUCCGCCAAAAAUUCGAAGGAAACAAUGUUCUAUCUGCACUUAGCACCUCUACAAACCGCAACUGAUCAAGCUUGCCGUUGAUCCUCCGUCCAGGAUAACAUACUCCGCCAAAGGUGAAGGUCGGGUCUAAUCAUAAACUAACUCAAGUGCGGGAAUCACCAGUUGAUACGAAUUUUUGUUGAUUUGAACUUUGUAGCUGCAGUUUCUUAUUGAUCGAUCUGAGAUUCCAUUUUCAGACUCAUUACGGAAUAAAAGAUUCAUAAACAAAGUGGUAAUGCGAUCAACAUGAAAUCGAGAUCGCACCCGAUACCAAAGUCAAGGACACGAUGUUAGUUUCUUUCGAAACACGCUGGCAAUUUCAUAGAAGAUUUUUGACUGUAUCUAUUUCUUUGUUACACGAUGUGAAUCUAUUGGAAACUUAUACUCGGACGAGGGGAAAUGUUUAUGUAUUGUUUAUGCUGCACCGAUCGAAGCUAACAGCGUGGUUAUGAAAAGAGUUGCAAAUAGUGAGCGGAAUCAUGUGUACCAGGAUUAAGGUACCAGGCUUAAAGUGGCGCAGUGUACGAGCAUUGAAAAUUGUACGCUAUUUAGAUGGAAGCUGGAUUUCUUUGGGUAUGGU
This is a long non-coding RNA of Anopheles funestus (African malaria mosquito), 1547 nucleotides long. RefSeq lists it as uncharacterized. The transcript is spliced from 6 exons. The record is from RefSeq and is a predicted model, not a curated record. Lineage: Eukaryota; Metazoa; Arthropoda; Insecta; Diptera; Culicidae.